AACGAACGCUGGCGGCAUGCCUAACACAUGCAAGUCGAACGAAGGCUCCGGCCUUAGUGGCGCACGGGUGCGUAACGCGUGGGAAUCUGCCCUUUGGUUCGGAAUAACAGCUGGAAACGGCUGCUAAUACCGGAUGAUGACGAAAGUCCAAAGAUUUAUCGCCGGAGGAUGAGCCCGCGUUGGAUUAGGUAGUUGGUGGGGUAAAGGCCUACCAAGCCGACGAUCCAUAGCUGGUCUGAGAGGAUGAUCAGCCACACUGGGACUGAGACACGGCCCAGACUCCUACGGGAGGCAGCAGUGGGGAAUAUUGGAAAAUGGGCGCAAGCCUGAUCCAGCAAUGCCGCGUGAGUGAUGAAGGCCCUAGGGUUGUAAAGCUCUUUUACCCGGGAAGAUAAUGACUGUACCGGGAGAAUAAGCCCCGGCUAACUCCGUG
Molecule: ribosomal RNA, 433 nt
Filed under: uncultured bacterium
Lineage: Bacteria
Description: partial 16S ribosomal RNA
Rfam family: Bacterial small subunit ribosomal RNA
Source: RNAcentral